RNAcentral lists this ribosomal RNA (301 nucleotides) under uncultured bacterium. Its description in RNAcentral is "partial 16S ribosomal RNA". It matches the Rfam family "Bacterial small subunit ribosomal RNA", at positions 509 to 807 of the family's 1533-position model. The record is from RNAcentral.
CAGCAGCCACGGGAAUACGAAGGGGGCUAGCGUUGUUCGGAUUUACUGGGCGUAAAGCGCACGUAGGCGGACUUUUAAGUCAGGGGUGAAAUCCCGGGGCUCAACCCCGGAACUGCCUUUGAUACUGGAAGUCUUGAGUAUGGUAGAGGUGAGUGGAAUUCCGAGUAUAGAGGUGAAAUUUGUAGAUAUUCGGAGGAACACCAGUGGCGAAGGCGGCUCACUGGACCAUUACUGACGCUGAGGUGCGAAAGCGUGGGGAGCAAACAGGAUUAGAUACCCGCGUAGUCCCUGUCUCUUAUAC